RNAcentral lists this non-coding RNA (25 nucleotides) under Rattus norvegicus (Norway rat). Lineage: Eukaryota; Metazoa; Chordata; Mammalia; Rodentia; Muridae. The record is from RNAcentral.
UGAUGACUUGCAAGGUGUGUGCCCU